RNAcentral lists this long non-coding RNA (665 nucleotides) under Apteryx owenii (little spotted kiwi). RNAcentral's name for it is "lncRNA (ENSAOWG00000011846.1)". The record is from RNAcentral. Lineage: Eukaryota; Metazoa; Chordata; Aves; Apterygiformes; Apterygidae.
CUCGGUAAGGAGCACAGCGGCAGCCGCGGCCCUGCGAAACUCACUUCCGCCUCGGUAGCGGCCGCGUGACAGGAAGCUCCCUCCCCACCCGCCCGUGCCGGCCCCGGAUGUGGCGUAAUCGCGGGGUGGCGCUGAGCGCGGCCGGCGGCAGCGGCGCGGAGAUGGCGGCCGGGGCCUGGCGCUGAGUUUCCAUGGUGCCUGGGCCCCGUCGCGGCCCGGCCAUGCGGCUGCUGCUGCUGCGGGUGGGAUCCCGGCGGCGCCUGAGCUCGGGGUGAGUCGGCGCGCGGGGGGGGAGAGGAGACCCCCCCCCCCCAAAUGGGGGGCUCCCGGACGCCUGGGCCCCUCCCCGGACGCCUGGGCCCCUGGGAGGGGGGUGGAGGAGGGGGGUGUCCCGGACGCCUGGGCCCUUCCCGGACUCCUGGGCCCCUUCCUUGACGCUUGUCCUCCUGCCCCGGAUGCCUGGGCCCCUCCCUUCCCUGAACACCUGGGUCCCUCCCGGACACCUGGGCCCCUUCCCGGACACCUGGGCCGCUUCCCGGACGCCUGGGCCCCUCCCUUGACACUUGUCCUCCUGCCCCGGACGCCUGGGCCCCUUCCUUCCCUGGACACCUGGGUUCCUGGGGGGGGGUGGAGGGAGGUGUCCCGGACGCCUGGGCCCCUUCCUG